UACGAAGGGGGCUAGCGUUGCUCGGAAUCACUGGGCGUAAAGGGUGCGUAGGCGGGUCUUUAAGUCAGGGGUGAAAUCCUGGAGCUCAACUCCAGAACUGCCUUUGAUACUGAAGAUCUUGAGUUCGGGAGAGGUGAGUGGAACUGCGAGUGUAGAGGUGAAAUUCGUAGAUAUUCGCAAGAACACCAGUGGCGAAGGCGGCUCACUGGCCCGAUACUGACGCUGAGGCACGAAGGCUAGGGGAGCAAACGGG
This 253-nucleotide ribosomal RNA is filed under the name uncultured bacterium. Its description in RNAcentral is "partial 16S ribosomal RNA". It matches the Rfam family "Bacterial small subunit ribosomal RNA", at positions 524 to 776 of the family's 1533-position model. The record is from RNAcentral.